CCGAAUCAGCAGAUUUGUUUUCCGAGCGAUCCCCAUACGUGGUGUUCGAGUCGGGAGCCCUGGCUGCUGCGGCGCGCUAGCGCUGCGCUGCCCACACCCCAUCACCACGCUCCGCGGGACUUAAAAAUUACUGGGUGUGGAAGAAUUUGGGGUGUUUUCCAGAAGCUGCAGCCUCUCAGGCAGAGGUGACAGGCUGGACAGCGUGCGAGCAGGAGGGCUCUGCGUGCUCCUCAGCGCUGCUGUGUUCAUCAGCUGUUAUAUAGCAAUCAAUAAGAUGCCCUAUGGUGCUACCUGUACACAAGAGACAAGAAUGAAGAUUGUUAUGGAAACAGACUUGUACUAAAUUGUUUGACUUGCUUGAAAUAAAAAAGGAAUGUACCUGUAUUCUGGGAACAAACGAUAGAAAGUCUGGAAAUUGUGUGUUCUUCUGCUGUGAAAUUGUUUCUCCUUGCUGUGUGGUUGCAUCUUUCAAUGUCGGUUGAAAAUACCUAUGUAGAAUUCUGUGAAUAAUACCUUAUUUCCUGACUGGAUUCCCAAAGAAUCGUACCAGAAGAGUUAUACCUACCUUCUUUCCUUAGGCUGGUACUGGAUGUUUUUAAGUUACUUCUGAAGAAUCAGAUAGCUGAUCGAGCAAAAGACCAUGAUCAGAAUUCUGAGUGCGUAACAGAUGUGUUGAGGAGUUGAUUUACUCAGUAUAAACAAAAUAACUGCUGAUGGUUGAAGCACUGAAUCCAAUCAGAUGAAGAGUGUCAAAAGGAGUCUACGAAUGAAAGAUCAAGAUGGCAGUUCCACUGUUGAUUGAGAGGCUGAGGAACUGGACUAAUGCAUGAGUGCUGUGAUAUAACUGUCCAAGAAAAGGACGUUAAAACGUGGACUUCUGUGUUAUUAAACCAGAGAAGAUCUGGGUUCUGAUCAUCCUGUCAAAAUGGACUUUGCACUUGAAUUAAUGAGGGGACUGUAUUGGUGACUAUGCAGUGAUGGAUCUAUUUGAGGGCUGGGUGCCAAAACUUUGCUCUAAGGUGAUGUAUGCAUAACAGAGAAAUUAAAUUGAUAAGACAUGUUGCUAUCCCUUUGGAGAAAAUGUAAUGUUCUUUUUUCUUUUUUUAAAAAGUUACUUAAUAAAAGGUUUUGGUUUCUUUUACA
Rhea pennata is the source of this 1143-nucleotide long non-coding RNA. RefSeq lists it as uncharacterized. The transcript has 7 exons. The record is from RefSeq and is a predicted model, not a curated record. NCBI's taxonomy places the organism in Eukaryota, Metazoa, Chordata, Aves, Rheiformes, Rheidae.